AGAGUUUGAUCCUGGCUCAGAGUGAACGCUGGCGGCGUGGAUUAGGCAUGCAAGUCGAGCGAUCUCGCAAGGGAUAGCGGCAAACGGGUGAGUAACACGUGGGUAAUUUGCCCUCAAGCCAGACAUAGCAUCGUGAAAACGGUGGUAAUAUUUGAUAAAACCAUGAGAGCGCAUGUUCCUUAUGGUUAAAGGCGGGGACCGAAAGGCCUGCCACUUGAGGAUGAGCCUGCGUCCUAUCAGCUUGUUGGUGGGGUAACGGCCUACCAAGGCGUAUGACGGGUAGCUGGUCUGAGAGGAUGGUCAGCCACACUGGGACUGAGACACUGCCCAGACUCCUACGGGAGGCUGCAGUCGAGAAUAUUUAGCAAUGGACGAAAGUCUGACUAUGCGACGCCGCGUGAGGGAUGAAGGUUUUCGGAUCGUAAACCUCUUUUGACAGGAAAGAACUGUCUCUGGUUAAUAGCUGGAGAUUUGACGGUACCUGUUGAAUAAGCCACGGUCGGAACGUGCCAGCAGCCGCGGUAAUAC
RNAcentral lists this ribosomal RNA (528 nucleotides) under uncultured bacterium. RNAcentral describes it as "bacterial SSU rRNA". It matches the Rfam family "Bacterial small subunit ribosomal RNA", at positions 8 to 526 of the family's 1533-position model. The record is from RNAcentral.